GAGAUUGACCAAAGUCUAUCCAUCCAAGAGGUGAGGAAGUAGGAAGGAGGAGGAUAAGAGAGAGAGAAGAGAGAGAGAGAGAGAGAGAGAGAGAAUGGAGGCUUUAUAUCUUCUCUGGUCAAUAGCAUACACCACUGUAACAUCGGCUCUUUUCUCGCUUCUAAUCCCUUUCCAGACAUUUCUACACCUCUUCUUCCUCUCUCCCAACCCCAAUGCUGUCUUCCUUUACCAAGGCCACGUGCAUCACGUGCGCAAGCGACCCGUCUUCCACUCCUUCCAGUACGACGUUCGCUACGCCCUCUUCGAUCUCGACCUCUCACCUCCCUUCUUCUCCACCCACCUCUCAGCUCAGGAAGCCCGCCACAUCACUCACACAUCCGGACCUGUGUUACUUCUUACCAUACCUCCCAGUGUGGGAUAUGAACAGAAUCCAUUGAGCGUUUAUUACUGCUACGAUCUUCAUGGGUCUACUCCCCUUUUAAACAAAUGCAUUGCUGAGGUAACAAACACACCUUGGGGUGAAAGAGUCUCAUUUGUUUUCGAUCCAGAUUCAGAUUUAGUGGCGAAGCCUUUGCACGUCAGCCCCUUUAUGGAUAUGCUUGGAAACUGGAGAAUGCGAGCAAAAGCACCUGGGGAGGAUCUCUCUCUUGAAAUUUCAGUUCAACACCCUGAGCUCGGGGACUAUUUUACGGCUACAUUGAAAGCCAAAAGGGUCCACUCCUCAAGGUCACAUUGUCUUGCAUUAUUUUUUUGGUUGAUGCCUCAAAAGGUGGCAUUGUGGAUUUAUUGGCAGUUUUCCAGAGGCUGAUGUCUAAUUCUUUAGCAUGGAGUCUCACUGUGCUUCUUUGAAAGGCAAUGGGAUGUUUGAUGGCCAUAUUUAAGUGGUUGUUACCUCAUGAUUAUCUUCUCCAGCUUUUGGACCCAACUGCAAGCUCUGUGGGAAGUAAAAUUUUUGAUUGUUGGGGAUGAAGCUUGCUUCAUCUACCACAUUUUUUGUAAUCCUGGCUAGGAUAUCUUGUCUUGGGCUUCCAAGAUGGAGGAUGGGCAGUGGUGGCUGGUCGGGCCAUUGUGCAUUUUUGGACCAGUGUAUAGGUCUUUUUUUUUUUUUUUUAUGGAAGCUUGCACUUAUUAGGGCCAGCUUCAGGAAUGAAGACCUUGAUCCUUUUUUAUUCUGGAAUGCUAGGCCAGGUACUGCAAUCCAUCUGUACGGCUACUUGGUUACAUGCGAAUUUCACAAUGGUAUGUUUCUGGUAUGGAGCGUUUGGUGGCAUGUUUGAUAGCAUUGGUUCCAUGUGAUUCAGUCUUCCUCCAUUGCAGGGCUGUUUCACUGCUCCUUUUAUGCUCGACGGUGUGUUUGGUUGCACCAAAUGUCAUGAAAUUUCAAGCAUUUGGUGGAACCAAAUGUACCCGAAGUUCCUUAACUUGAAGGAAAUUUCUCAUAUGAUUGGCUGUGUUAUAGCAGAGGGCGGGCAGGCCUCGUUCUAUUUUCUUACUGCAGUGGACAAGAUUCUAUGCAGCUCAAGGAGUGUUUGGAUUGAUGGUGUUGUGUUGCUGCUGCAAAUAGAGUUUGAUCAUGGGUGGGGUUUGAUAGGAUUAUGGAUUUUUUAUUUUUUAUUUUGGUUGGCUUUAGCCUUUUCUUUUUUCUUUUCUUUUUUGGGUUGGGAUCUUUGUUGAGCCUUCUGUUGGUGGGGACUUUGUGGUGUACUCAUUUCCAUCUAUUAUGAUUUAAUGAAGGCAAAUGUGCACAAACCUUCAACUUUGAAGGCAUUUUGCACAAAGAAUUUCCCUAACCCUUCCGUUCCUGCAAGCGCACCCUUUUUCUUUGGGGGAAUUUCACAUAAAACUAUCUACUUAACAUAGAGUU
Molecule: RNA transcript, 1864 nt
Organism: Magnolia sinica
Lineage: Eukaryota; Viridiplantae; Streptophyta; Magnoliopsida; Magnoliales; Magnoliaceae
Exons: 6
Source: RefSeq, a predicted model, not a curated record